This 435-nucleotide ribosomal RNA is filed under the name uncultured bacterium. RNAcentral's name for it is "partial 16S ribosomal RNA". It matches the Rfam family "Bacterial small subunit ribosomal RNA", at positions 29 to 507 of the family's 1533-position model. The record is from RNAcentral.
AACGAACGCUGGCGGCAUGCCUAACACAUGCAAGUCGAACGAUUGCCUUCGGGUGAUAGUGGCGCACGGGUGCGUAACGCGUGGGAAUCUGCCCUUAGGUUCGGAAUAACAGCUGGAAACGGCUGCUAAUACCGGAUGAUAUCGCGAGAUCAAAGAUUUAUCGCCUGAGGAUGAGCCCGCGUUGGAUUAGGUAGUUGGUGGGGUAAAGGCCUACCAAGCCGACGAUCCAUAGCUGGUCUGAGAGGAUGAUCAGCCACACUGGGACUGAGACACGGCCCAGACUCCUACGGGAGGCAGGAGUGGGGAAUAUUGGACAAUGGGCGCAAGCCUGAUCCAGCAAUGCCGCGUGAGUGAUGAAGGCCGUAGGGUUGUAAAGCUCUUUUACCCGGGAAGAUAAUGACUGUACCGGGAGAAUAAGCCCCGGCUAACUCCGUG